CACCAGGUUGAUUCUGCCUGACGUAUGUGCUUGUCUUGAAGAUUUAGCCAUGCAAGUUAGUGAAACAUUAAAAGUGAAACGACAGACAGCUCAGUAAUACAGUAAUGAUUAACUUGUUAAUAACUGGAUAACCUUGGUAACCUAAGGGUAAUACAGUAAAAGUAGAAAUAUGGUGAAACAUUUCUAUUUGAAACAAUUAAGUUUCUGACCUAUCAGCUAUAUUUUAAGGUAAUGUCUUCAAAUGGCUACGACGGGUAACGGAGGAUCAGGGUUCGAUUCCGGAGAGGGAGCCUGAGAAAUAGCUACCACGUCUAAGGAUGGCAGCAGGCGCGAAAAUUACCCAAUUCCUUAAUGGGAGAGGUAGUGAAGAGACAUGAAUUUAAAUUAAAUCGAGUAGAUACAGUAAAAAUGUGUUGAAGCAACUGGGGGGCAAGUCUGGUGCCAGCAGCCGCGGUAAUUCCAGCUCCAGUAGCGCAUAUAAUAAUUGCUGCAGUUAAAAUGUCCGUAGUUGAUUUAUUAAAGUUUUACUAUGAGUAAAAUAUAGUGCUCAAAACUAUAAGUAAGCAUGGGACUUAAAAAUAAUAGGAACAGAUGAUGGCAAUAGUAUUCAAUAGUUAGAGGUGAAAAUUUAAGACCUAUUGAGGACUAACAGAAGCGAAAGCGAUUGUCAAGGAUGUAUCCAUUAAUAAAGGACUUAAGCUAGAGUAUCGAAGAUGAUUAGAUACCGUCGUAGUUCUAGCUGUAAACGAUGCCAACUAGGUGAUGCUGUAAAGGCUAUGCUUUAGGAGAAAUCAAAGUCUAUGGGCUCUGGGGAUAGUACGACAUCACUGUUGAAACUUAAAGAAAUUGACGGAAGAAUACCACAAGGAGUGGAUUAUGCGGCUUAAUUUGACUCAACGCGGGACAACUUACCAGUGCCGAACUCGGAUGAGAAUUUUUAUUAAAAUGAUUUUGAGGAAGGUGGUGCAUGGCCGUUUUCAACACGUGGGGUGACCUGUCAGGUUAAUUCCGAUAACGCGUGAGGCACAUGAAAUAUUGUAAAAUAUUUGACGGAUGAUAAGAAAUCAUAGGAAGUUGGGCUAUAACAGGUCAGUGAUGCCCCUAGAUGUUCUGGGCUGCACGCGUACUACAAUGAUAUAUUUAAAAUAAGUAUUGAGAAAUAUAAUUAAAUAUAUAUCGAAGCUGGGAUAAGCUAUUGUAAAUUAGUUUUGAACUUGGGAUUCCUAGUAAUCAUAAGUCAUUAUGUUAUGAUGAAUGCGUCCCUGUUCUUUGUACACACCGCCCGUCACUAUCUAAGAUGGAUGUAUAUGUGAAAUGGCUAGACGUAAAACGAAAGCAG
Molecule: ribosomal RNA, 1339 nt
Filed under: Janacekia debaisieuxi
Lineage: Eukaryota; Fungi; Microsporidia; Tuzetiidae
Description: SSU rRNA
Rfam family: Microsporidia small subunit ribosomal RNA
Source: RNAcentral